UACGGGGGGGGCAAGCGUUGUUCGGAAUUACUGGGCGUAAAGGGCUCGUAGGCGGCCAACUAAGUCAUACGUGAAAUCCCUCGGCUUAACCGGGGAACUGCGUCUGAUACUGGAUGGCUUGAGUUCGGGAGAGGGAUGCGGAAUUCCAGGUGUAGCGGUGAAAUGCGUAGAUAUCAGGUGGAACACCAGUGGCGAAGGCGGCUUUCUGGACGAUAACUGACGCUGAGACGCGAAAGCGUGGGGAGCAAACAGG
This 253-nucleotide ribosomal RNA is filed under the name uncultured bacterium. RNAcentral describes it as "partial 16S ribosomal RNA". It matches the Rfam family "Bacterial small subunit ribosomal RNA", at positions 524 to 776 of the family's 1533-position model. The record is from RNAcentral.